CCUACGGGUGGCAGCAGUGGGGAAUAUUGCGCAAUGGGCGAAAGCCUGACGCAGCGACGCCGCGUGAGGGAUGAAGGUCUUCGGAUCGUAAACCUCUGUCAGCAGGGAAGAACGGUCACUGGGCUAAUCAGCAGUGAAUUGACGGUACCUGCAAAGGAAGCACCGGCUAACUCCGUGCCAGAAGCCGCGGUAAUACGGAGGGUGCGAGCGUGAAACGGAAUUACGGGGCGGAAAGCGCUAGUAGGCGGUAUGUCAAGUCAAGGGUGAAAUCCCCGCGCUCAACUUGGGAACUGCCUUUGAAACUGGCACACUGGAGUGUGUGAGAGGCUAGUGGACUUCCAGGUGU
Molecule: ribosomal RNA, 346 nt
Filed under: uncultured bacterium
Lineage: Bacteria
Description: partial 16S ribosomal RNA
Rfam family: Bacterial small subunit ribosomal RNA
Source: RNAcentral